RNAcentral lists this ribosomal RNA (791 nucleotides) under uncultured bacterium. RNAcentral describes it as "bacterial SSU rRNA". It matches the Rfam family "Bacterial small subunit ribosomal RNA", at positions 8 to 796 of the family's 1533-position model. The record is from RNAcentral.
AGAGUUUGAUCAUGGCUCAGAUUGAACGCUGGCGGCAUGCCUUACACAUGCAAGUCGAACGGCAGCACGGGGGCAACCCUGGUGGCGAGUGGCGAACGGGUGAGUAAUAUAUCGGAACGUGCCCUGGAGUGGGGGAUAACGUAGCGAAAGUUACGCUAAUACCGCAUACGAUCUACGGAUGAAAGUGGGGGACCGCAAGGCCUCAUGCUCGUGGAGCGGCCGAUAUCUGAUUAGCUAGUUGGUGGGGUAAAAGCCUACCAAGGCAUCGAUCAGUAGCUGGUCUGAGAGGACGACCAGCCACACUGGGACUGAGACACGGCCCAGACCCCUACGGGAGGCAGCAGUGGGGAAUUUUGGACAAUGGGGGCAACCCUGAUCCAGCAAUGCCGCGUGAGUGAAGAAGGCCUUCGGGUUGUAAAGCUCUUUUGUCAGGGAAGAAACGGCGAGCUCUAAUACAGUUUGCUAAUGACGGUACCUGAAGAAUAAGCACCGGCUAACUACGUGCCAGCAGCCGCGGUAAUACGUAGGGUGCGAGCGUUAAUCGGAAUUACUGGGCGUAAAGCGUGCGCAGGCGGUUGUGCAAGACAGAUGUGAAAUCCCCGGGCUUAACCUGGGAAUUGCAUUUGUGACUGCACGGCUAGAGUGUGUCAGAGGGGGGUAGAAUUCCACGUAGCAGUGAAAUGCGUAGAUAUGUGGAGGAAUACCGAUGGCGAAGGCAGCCCCCUGGGAUAACACUGACGCUCAUGCACGAAAGCGUGGGGAGCAAACAGGAUUAGAUACCCUAGUAGUCC